UGGGGUAAUUCUAGAACCAUCUGUUCCCA
Molecule: non-coding RNA, 29 nt
Filed under: Mus musculus (house mouse)
Lineage: Eukaryota; Metazoa; Chordata; Mammalia; Rodentia; Muridae
Source: RNAcentral